CCCUUAGAUGUCCUGGGCUGCACGCGCGCUACACUGACGAACUCAACGAGCUUAUCACCUUGGCAGAGAUGUCUGGGUAAUCUUUUGAAAGUUCGUCGUGCUGGGGAUAGAUGAUUGUAAUUAUUCGUCUUGAACGAGGAAUUCCUAGUAAGUGUGGGUCAUCAGCUCGCGCUGAUUACGUCCCUGCCCUUUGUACACACCGCCCGUCGCUCCUACCGAUUGAAUGGUCCGGUGAGGUUCUCGGAUUUUUUCUGUUGUUUGGUUCGCUAAACGAUUGAAGAGAGAAGUUACCCAAACCUUACCAUUUAGAGGAAGGAGAAGUCGUAACA
This 329-nucleotide ribosomal RNA is filed under the name uncultured eukaryote. RNAcentral describes it as "partial 18S ribosomal RNA". It matches the Rfam family "Eukaryotic small subunit ribosomal RNA", at positions 1470 to 1796 of the family's 1831-position model. The record is from RNAcentral.